This 424-nucleotide ribosomal RNA is filed under the name uncultured bacterium. RNAcentral's name for it is "partial 16S ribosomal RNA". It matches the Rfam family "Bacterial small subunit ribosomal RNA", at positions 360 to 776 of the family's 1533-position model. The record is from RNAcentral.
AAUUUUGGACAAUGGGGGAAACCCUGAUCCAGCCAUCCCGCGUGUAUGAUGAAGGCCUUCGGGUUNUAAAGUACUUUUGGCAGAGANGAAAAGGUAUCUCCUAAUACGAGAUACUGCUGACGGUAUCUGCAGAAUAAGCACCGGCUAACUACGUGCCAGCAGCCGCGGUAAUACGUAGGGUGCAAGCGAUAAUCGGAAUUACUGGGCGUAAAGAGGGGGUAGGCGGUUCGGAAAGAAAGAUGUGAAAACACAGGGCUCAACCAUGGAACUACAUUAUUAACUGCCGGACUAGAGUAUGUCAGAGGGGGGUAGAAUACCACGUGUAGCAGUGAAAAGCGUAGAUAUGUGGAGGAAUACCGAUGGCGAAGGCAGCCCCCUGGGAUAAUACUGACGCUCAGACACGAAAGCGUGGGGAGCAAACAGG